GAUCCGCAGGAGCAGCUAGAGCUGGUGGCUGCCGGCCGACGCGGGCUUGUCAAAAGGAGCAUUCAGGCUGGAGGCGGCGGCUGACGCCAUCCGUCUGACACUCUCGCGAGAUCUCCGCUGUGAUCCCCCAGAAGCCUUUGCCUGCCCUGUAGAAGGCGCAGAGCGCAGGCGCACACUCCGUCCCGCCCUUGCACAGUGUCCUUUCGCCCUCCGUGAAUAAAUCAAAUUAAAUGAA
Molecule: long non-coding RNA, 235 nt
Organism: Cebus imitator (Panamanian white-faced capuchin)
Lineage: Eukaryota; Metazoa; Chordata; Mammalia; Primates; Cebidae
Exons: 2
Source: RefSeq, a predicted model, not a curated record